This 459-nucleotide ribosomal RNA is filed under the name uncultured bacterium. Its description in RNAcentral is "partial 16S ribosomal RNA". It matches the Rfam family "Bacterial small subunit ribosomal RNA", at positions 339 to 795 of the family's 1533-position model. The record is from RNAcentral.
CUACGGGCGGCUCCAGUGAGGAAUAUUGGUCAAUGGGCGCGAGCCUGAACCAGCCAUCCCGCGUGCAGGAUGACGGCCCUAUGGGUUGUAAACUGCUUUUCUAUGCCAAGAAACCCUGUUACGAGUAACAGGUUGCCGGUAGCAUAGGAAUAAGCAUCGGCCAACUCCGUGCCAGCAGCCGCGGUAAUACGGAGGAUGCAAGCGUUAUCCGGAUUCAUUGGGUUUAAAGGGUGCGCCGGUGGGCUUGUAAGUCAGUGGUGAAAUGCUGCCGCUUAACGGUAGAACUGCCAUUGAUACUGCGAGUCUUGAGUAUGGUUGAGGUAGGCGGAAUGUGUUGUGUAGCGGUGAAAUGCAUAGAUAUGACACAGAACGCCAAUUGCGAAGGCAGCUUACUAAGCCAUUACUGACGCUGAGGCACGAAAGCGUGGGGAGCGAACAGGAUUAGAUACCCCGGUAGUC